GAUCGGUAUAACUCUGGCAAACCGGGGCUAAUACCGGAUAAUACUUUUUAUCACAUGAUGAGAAGAUGAAAGGCGGCUCAUGCUGUCACUUGUAGAUGGGCCCGCGGCGCAUUAGCUAGUUGGUGGGUCAAUGGCUCACCAAGGCAACGAUGCGUACCCGACCUGAGAGGGUGAUCGGCCACACUGGGACUGAGACACGGCCCAGACUCCUACGGGAGGCAGCAGUAGGGAAUCUUCCGCAAUGGACGAAAGUCUGACGGAGCGACGCCGCGUGAGCGAUGAAGGUCUUCGGAUCGUAAAGCUCUGUUGUUAGGGAAGAACAAGUACAAGAGUAACUGCUUGUACCUUGACGGUACCUAACCAGAAAGCCACGGCUAACUACGUGCCAGCAGCCGCGGUAAUACGUAGGUGGCAAGCGUUGUNCNGNAAUUAUUGGGCGUAAAGCGCGCGCAGGCGGUCCUUUAAGUCUGAUGUGAAAAGCCACGGCUUAACCGUGGAGGGUCAUUGGAAACUGGGGGACUUGAGUACAGAAGAGGAGAGUGGAAUUCCACGUGUAGCGGUGAAAUGCGUAGAGAUGUGGAGGAACACCAGUGGCGAAGGCGACUCUCUGGUCUGUAACUGACGCUGAGGCGCGAAAGCAUGGGUAGCGAACAGGAUUAGAUACCCUGGUAGUCCAUGCCGUAAACGAUGAGUGCUAGGUGUUAGGGGGUUUCCGCCCCUUAGUGCUGAAGUUAACGCAUUAAGCACUCCGCCCUGGGGAGUACGGCCGCAAGGCUGAAACUCAAAAGAAUUGACGGGGGCCCGCACAAGCGGUGGAGCAUGUGGUUUAAUUCGAAGCAACGCGAAGAACCUUACCAGGUCUUGACAUCCUCUGACACCCCUAGAGAUAGGGCUUUCCCUUCGGGGACAGAGUGACAGGUGGUGCAUGGUUGUCGUCAGCUCGUGUCGUGAGAUGUUGGGUUAAGUCCCGCAACGAGCGCAACCCUUGAUCUUAGUUGCCAGCAUUUAGUUGGGCACUCUAAGGUGACUGCCGGUGACAAACCGGAGGAAGGUGGGGAUGACGUCAAAUCAUCAUGCCCCUUAUGACCUGGGCUACACACGUGCUACAAUGGAUGGUACAAAGGGCAGCGAAGCCGCGAGGUGAAGCAAAUCCCAUAAAACCAUUCUCAGUUCGGAUUGCAGGCUGCAACUCGCUCGCAUGAAGCCCGAAUCGCUAG
This 1217-nucleotide ribosomal RNA is filed under the name Paucisalibacillus globulus. RNAcentral describes it as "bacterial SSU rRNA". It matches the Rfam family "Bacterial small subunit ribosomal RNA", at positions 136 to 1338 of the family's 1533-position model. Lineage: Bacteria; Bacillati; Bacillota; Bacilli; Caryophanales; Bacillaceae. The record is from RNAcentral.